AUUGGCUGACCACGAUCCAGAGUCAGUAAUGAGGCAUAUCUGUGCACCACACACAUGCCUGAUGCCCACGGAAGUUACAAGAUGACAUGGAUCUUUUGGAAGUGGAGUUACAGACAGUUGUGAACUGCCAUAUCACCUGUAAGAGAAUAAUACCAACAUAGUGGUACCAAGGUCUUCAGCUGUUCCUGUGGGCCUGUGUCUUGAGUUCACCAGGCAGGUUUCUUGCAGCAGAAAAGUUGGUCUUACCUGUGGUCCCGAGGCUCAAGUUCACUCGCGGGGUGCUGCCCAAGAGCUCUCUGCGGCGGCAGCAACCAGGAAGAUCUGCGCCGCCGUUUCCGGGAGCUUCAGUGCACCAGGAUUACAGAUGGCGUUUGGUGUUUUCCUCUGGCGUCCGAGAUGUGUGCAGAGUGCAGUGUCUUCUGGUUUCCCAGGCGUGUCUGCCUCUCUGAAGGUUUAGCUCUCCCUCCCACGGGAUUUGGGUGCAGAGAACUGUUUAUCUGGUCUGUUCCUUCAGGUUCCGGGGGUGUCUCAGGCGCAGGGGUCUUGCCGCUCCUGGGCCCUCCCUCACGGGAACCCAGAGGCCGCAUACAGUUUCCUCUUGGGCCUGGGAUGUGGGCAGGGGUGGGCAGUGUUGGUGGUCUCUUCUGCUCUGCAGCCUCAGGAGUGCCCACCUGACCAGGCGGUGAGGUCUCUCUCCCAC
Molecule: long non-coding RNA, 700 nt
Filed under: Rattus norvegicus (Norway rat)
Lineage: Eukaryota; Metazoa; Chordata; Mammalia; Rodentia; Muridae
Description: long non-coding RNA NONRATT019672
Source: RNAcentral